GACGAACGCUGGCGGCGUGCUUAACACAUGCAAGUCGAACGGAAAGGCCCUGCUUUUGUGGGGUGCUCGAGUGGCGAACGGGUGAGUAACACGUGAGUAACCUGCACUUGACUUUGGGAUAACUUCAGGAAACUGGGGCUAAUACCGGGUAGGAGCUCCUGCUGCAUGGUGGUGGUUGGAAAGAUUCGGCGGUUGGGGAUGGACUCGCGGCUUAUCAGCUUGUUGGUGGGGUAGUGGCUUACCAAGGCUUUGAGGGGUAGCCGGCCUGAGAGGGUGACCGGCGACAUGGGUACUGAGAUACGGCGCAGACGCCUACGGGCGGCAGUGGGGGGGAAUAUUGCGGAAUGGGGGGAAGCCUGAGGUAGCAACGCCGGGUGCGGGAUGACGGCUUUCGGGUGGUAAACCGAUUUCGCCUGUGAUGAAGAGUGAGUGACGGUAAUGGGUAAGGAAGCAACGGCUAACUACGUG
Molecule: ribosomal RNA, 468 nt
Filed under: uncultured bacterium
Lineage: Bacteria
Description: partial 16S ribosomal RNA
Rfam family: Bacterial small subunit ribosomal RNA
Source: RNAcentral